UACGUAUGGUGCAAGCGUUAUCCGGAUUUACUGGGUGUAAAGGGAGCGCAGGCGGCACGGCAAGCCUGAUGUGAAAGCCCGCGGCCCAACCGCGGGACUGCAUUGGGAACUACCGGGCUGGAGUGCCGGAGAGGUAGGCGGAAUUCCUAGUGUAGCGGUGAAAUGCGUAGAUAUAUGGAAGAACACCAGUGGCGAAGGCGGCUCUCUGGUCUGCAACUGACGCUGAGGCUCGAAAGCAUGGGUAGCGAACAGG
This 253-nucleotide ribosomal RNA is filed under the name uncultured bacterium. Its description in RNAcentral is "partial 16S ribosomal RNA". It matches the Rfam family "Bacterial small subunit ribosomal RNA", at positions 524 to 776 of the family's 1533-position model. The record is from RNAcentral.